AACCAUAAUUAAAUCAUCCAAAAAAUUAAAGGUAACACAUGCCUUGGUACCACCAUCAAAAGUGUUAGCUCUACACAGCCUGGUAUAGAUUUCUCUCCUACUAAUAUUUCUUGGCAAAUCAUCACCAAGAACUCUUUGAAUAAGACGAACAUAAUUCGUAGGCAAUUUAGAUUCCCAUACAAAAUCAGCCCAAGAAGCUCCACGAAAUGCUCUGUUCAAUCUUGCUAAUUUGCAUAUCUCUGGCGGGUCUAAAUAAGCAAUAAUCGAAGCAACACAGCUUUCUGGUAAGUCUCCAAGAGUUGGGUUUGACGUUGUUGAUUGAGACGAUAAAUAACCAUAAAGAGACAAAGCAUUCGGGUCUACGAACACAGAAGAAAGAUUAGCACCCAUGAAGAGAAGAAGAAACAGAGAGGGACUAGACAGUUCUUCUCUCAGCUUUAAUGGAGAAAGGAGAGAGAGGUGGCAAAGAGGAAGGCAAAGGGUAUUUGUAGAGAGACGCGUAUACCAUUUGAAGAUUGUUUGUCUGCUUUGAUUUUGGUUUUGGUAAUGUUCUUUCUCUUUUUCAAUGAGAGAGAGAGAGAGAUAGAGAGAGAGAG
RNAcentral lists this unclassified non-coding RNA (596 nucleotides) under Hevea brasiliensis (rubber tree). The record is from RNAcentral. Lineage: Eukaryota; Viridiplantae; Streptophyta; Magnoliopsida; Malpighiales; Euphorbiaceae.